CAGCAGCCACGGUAAUACAGAGGGGGCUAGCGUUGUUCGGAAUUACUGGGCGUAAAGCGCACGUAGGCGGCUUGGUAAGUUAGAGGUGAAAGCCCGGAGCUCAACUCCGGAAUUGCCUUUAAGACUGCCGAGCUAGCAGGUGAGAGAGGUAAGUGGAAUUCCGAGUGUAGAGGUGAAAUUCGUAGAUAUUCGGAAGAACACCAGUGGCGAAGGCGGCUUACUGGCUCAUACUGGACGCUGAGGUGCGAAAGCGUGGGGAGCAAACAGGAUUAGAUACCCCCGUAGUCCCUGUCUCUUAUAC
This 301-nucleotide ribosomal RNA is filed under the name uncultured bacterium. RNAcentral's name for it is "partial 16S ribosomal RNA". It matches the Rfam family "Bacterial small subunit ribosomal RNA", at positions 509 to 807 of the family's 1533-position model. The record is from RNAcentral.